CCUACGGGAGGCAGCAGUCGAGAAUCAUUCACAAUGGGGGAAACCCUGAUGGUGCGACGCCGCGUGGGGGAAUGAAGGUCUUCGGAUUGUAAACCCCUGUCAUGUGGGAGCAAAUUAAAAAGAUAGUACCACAAGAGGAAGAGACGGCUAACUCUGUGCCAGCAGCCGCGGUAAUACAGAGGUCUCAAGCGUUGUUCGGAAUCACUGGGCGUAAGGCGUGCGUAGGCUGUUUCGUAAGUCGUGUGUGAAAGGCGCGGGCUCAACCCGCGGAUGGCACAUGAUACUGCGAGACUAGAGUAAUGGAGGGGGAACCGGAAUUCUCGGUGUAGCAGUGAAAUGCGUAGAUAUCGAGAGGAACACUCGUGGCGAAGGCGGGUUCCUGGACAUUAACUGACGCUGAGGCACGAAGGCCAGGGGAGCGAAAGGGAUUAGAUACCCUGGUAGUC
RNAcentral lists this ribosomal RNA (446 nucleotides) under uncultured bacterium. Its description in RNAcentral is "partial 16S ribosomal RNA". It matches the Rfam family "Bacterial small subunit ribosomal RNA", at positions 338 to 795 of the family's 1533-position model. The record is from RNAcentral.